CACAGACCACAGCUCUAAGAAACUUAGAGAGCUCCAGCACACCAUGAUCCUCCAAAAAAAACCCCCAAGAAAGAAAACCAAGAAGAGUUGGUGCAUCAGUUUGGUAUAUUCAUCACAUGAAAAGCGAGUCACUGUGCAUAUAUAGUCAUCCAUCAUCUCCACAGGAAGCAAUCAUAUCUACUGUUGUUUUAAGUUCCUUUGAUCUCUCUCUCUCUCUCUUCUCUCUCUCUCUCCAGAUCUCAACCUUGCGGGAUCUUGCCUUUCUGUUUCAUCUCCUUCAUCUGCUUCUUCUUCCUCCCCUUAGUCUCUGAAAUUGAUUCUCAAGAAGUUUCAAGCUUUUUUUUUAAGCUCACCGUCUUUCUCUUCUUGAUUCGCUUCUUUUUCUUUCUUUUCCCUUUUGGCCCCCAAUUCUAGAUCAACUGCGAGCACUACUUCUGAUUAACACUUGAACAAUCCUGAAGUUUUUUUUCUCUUUGUGGCCAGAAACUGAGCAAAGCUAACCUUUUUAGUUUCCUUUUUCCUUACCUUUUUAUCUUUUUUUGACCUGAUGAUCUGUGAACUCUGGGAAGCUGCCCAAUCCUGAUGCAGCUUGUCGAUGCUGUGUGUAUUCGUUCUCUAACGUUGAAAUCUGCACGACCCAACUCUUUCUUUCUCGCUUAGAUUCUUCUCCUCGAAUUUCUAAAAGAAAGCCAAAGUGUCGAUUUUUCUUUUAGCAAACGGGUCUAAGGAGAAAUGGGGUUCAUAUUCUUUUCUCUUCUCUUCUUGUCCUACCUAUUUGCAAAUAACUGGUUUCGAUACAUUUUAAUGGAGCAUCCGGGGGUGCUUAUGGAUCGACAGUCGUUGUUUGCGGGUGUAGCAUCAUCAAGAUUCACAUAUAGUUUUUGCAUCUUCCUCUCGGGGUAAGAUUACUAAAGGUUUUACUUGAAUUCAUGAUUAAAUCGUGGGCAAGUGCAAAAGAAAGGUUCCUUGGAAGUGUGAGAAUCUUGAUGAUGCUGCAUCGGCAAUAAAACGACUCUUGCAAAGUACAACACGAAGCACUCGCUCUCUCUCACGCCUCCCCAUUUCCCAUUUAAAGCCUUAACGAGGAGAUACUAACACUUCCCUUUUUGCAUCAGUACCAUCUAUAUAUUUAAAUACUCAUAAAAAAUCACGGUAUGGAUCUAUUUGCACUCCGCUAAUUUUUUUUCUACUGUUUGGUCUAUACUUGGAGGAAGAAACCCUAAAGAUUCUAUAGGCCUUUUUAUGGAGCAACUUGGGGCUAUUCUCUGACAUUUGCAAGAUUUAUUUUUGCUCUUCUGAGUAAAAAGAAGAGCUUUCAGUUGGAAAAUGAAAGCACAGUUUUUUCUGCAACUGAAGGGAGAAAAUGCGUUGUGAUGUGUGUGGCAUUGUGAUUCAGGCAGUCCCAUUGUUGAAGAGGCUGAUCCAAAAGCUGGGAAGAGAGGUGAUUUGAAUACAGCUUUUUGAUUGGGGACUUCUGGAAUGAGCUGAAAAUGGGGAAGUUCAACGGAAGUUUGCUUUGUGAUCUCUCUACAUCACGCCUUUGUGUAGGGAUCGAUUGUGGUAUGGUAAAGGCUACUCUCACAUACGAUGCAAGAUUAUUAGCAAGAGGAGGUUAUCAAAGGAAAAAGUCGACGUGGCCAUAUUUCUUCCUCUGGCAUGGGAACCAAGCUGGUUGGCAUUCAUAAACUAGAUGCUUCAGAGAAGGUACAAUCUCAGUUGGGUGAUGACUUUAACAGAUAGAGAAAGUUUGAUGGUCCCCCGAGGGUUAAAUAAUAAUGGUGGUCCAGGUCCAGGUCCAGAAGAGGGUGUACGAAAGGAGACAUUGCAUGGGAAAGUUCAAAGGACCAUAUUAUUCGUAUUGGCUUUUGCAUGGGCGUGGGAUCUCUCUCGGGGGACACUUCACAUCACUCGACAGAUCACAUAUUCAGCGAUGGCAUCGAGGCAUCGACCGGGCCUGAGCCUACACCAACCCCCCACCACUCCAGUUCUCUUGAUGCGUCUCCUCUUUGUAUCAACGAAUGUGUGUGCCUAUUAACGGCAUAUAUAGCAAGAUGAAAACCAUCCCUUUUUACCCUUUCCCUUUUUUAGCCUGAACCAGUCACAUUUCGUGCAUGGGACUGAUGUUCUCGCGUCAAGUUCGACCAAACUCUAAACCGUUCAUUCUUAGAUUAAGGGAUAAGCAAGGAUUGGUGAGUUUCGGCAUUGAAA
Long non-coding RNA from Syzygium oleosum, 2208 nucleotides. RefSeq lists it as uncharacterized. The record is from RefSeq and is a predicted model, not a curated record. The transcript is spliced from 6 exons. Lineage: Eukaryota; Viridiplantae; Streptophyta; Magnoliopsida; Myrtales; Myrtaceae.